Danio aesculapii is the source of this 330-nucleotide long non-coding RNA. RefSeq lists it as uncharacterized. Lineage: Eukaryota; Metazoa; Chordata; Actinopteri; Cypriniformes; Danionidae. The record is from RefSeq and is a predicted model, not a curated record. The transcript has 3 exons.
GAUUAUUUUGGUGUACAAAAGUGCCAGUGGAGACGCAUGGACUGUUUUGACAAUGUUUCUGACGGUCUCACCGUUUGUGUUGUCCUCCACACUGUUAUCGGGAGAGGACUCAUAAGGUGCUGUACUUUCUUCUGAAAGCAUCGUCCAAUCCUCUUCCAGCCACGGACAGAAGUCGUUGCAGAAGCUGAUGAUCUCCAAAAGUGAGCCUGGACGACAAAAUCAGUCAUAAUGUAGAGGGUUCAUCAAAUGCUGUACCGGCAUCUGAAACCACAGUCCAGUCCUCCUCGUCCAGCCAGGGACAGAAGUUACUGCAGAAGCUGAUGGUCUCCA